RNAcentral lists this ribosomal RNA (1472 nucleotides) under uncultured Bordetella sp. RNAcentral's name for it is "partial 16S-23S ribosomal RNA intergenic spacer". It matches the Rfam family "Bacterial small subunit ribosomal RNA". The record is from RNAcentral. Lineage: Bacteria; Pseudomonadati; Pseudomonadota; Betaproteobacteria; Burkholderiales; Alcaligenaceae.
AGUUUGAUCAGCGGCUCAGAUUGAACGCUGGCGGGAUGCUUUACAUGCAAGUCGAACGGCAGCACGGACUUCGGUCUGGUGGCGAGUGGCGAACGCGAGUAAUGUAUCGAACCGUGCUCAGUAGCGGGGGAUAACUACGCGAAAGCGGGUAGCUAAUACCGCAUACGCCCUUCGGGGGAAAGCGGGGACCUUCGGGCCUCGCACUAUUAGAGCGGCCGAUAUCGGAUUAGCUAGUUGCGUAACGGCUCACCAAGGGCGACGAUCCGUAGCUGGUUUGAGAGGAUCGACCAGCCACUGGGACUGAGACACGGCCCAGACUCCUACGCCGGGAGGCAGCAGUGGGGAAUUUUGACAAUGGGGGAAACCCUGAUCCAGCCAUCCCGCGUGUGCGAUGAAGGCCUUCAAGUUGUAAAGUACUUUUGGCAGGAAGAAACGGCACGGAGCAAUACCCCGUGCAACUGACGGUACUCGCAGAAUAAGCACUGGCUAACUACGCCAGCAGCCGCGGUAAUACGCAGGGUGCAAGCGUUAAUCGGAAUUACUGGGCGUAAAGCGUGCGGCAGUGGUUCGGAAAGAAAGAUGUGAAAUCCCAGAGCUUAACUUUGGAACUGCAUUUUUAACUACCGAGCUAGAGGCAUGUCAGAGGGAGGUGGAAUUCCGCGUGUAGCAGUGAAAUGCGUAGAUAUGCGGAGGAACACCGAUGGCGAAGGCAGCCUCCUGGGAUAAUACCGACACUCAUGCACGAAAGCGUGGGGAGCAAACAGGAUUAGAUACCCUGGUAGUCCACGCCCUAAACGAUGUCAACUAGCUGCUAGCCUCUCGCCUUGGUAGCGCAGCUAACGCGGUGAAGUUGACCGCCUGGGGAGUACGGUCGCAAGAUUAAAACUCAAAGGACUGACGGGGACCCGCACAAGCGGUGGACGAUGUGGACUAAUUCGAUGCAACGCGAAAAACCUUACCUACCCUUGACAUGUCUGGAAUCCGAAGAGAUUUGGGAGUGCUCGCAAGAGAACCGAACACAGGUGCUGCAUGGCUGUCGUCAGCUCGUGUCGAGAUGUUGGGUUAAGUCCUGGCAACGGCAACCCUUGUCAUUAGUUGCUACGAAAGGGCACUCUAGAUUUAGACUGCUGGUGACAAACCGGAGGAAGGUGGGGAUGACGUCAAGCCCUCAUGGCCCUUAUGGGUAGGGCUUCACACGUCAUACAAUGGUCGGGACAGAGGGUCGCCAACCCGCGAGGGGGAGCCAAUCCCAGAAACCCGAUCAGUCCGGAUCGCAGUUCGCAACUCGACUGCGUGAAGUCGGAAUCGCUAGUAAUCGCGGAUCAGCAUGUCGCGGUGAAUACGUUCCCGGGUCUUGUACACACCGCCCGUCACACCAUGGGAGUGGGUUUACCAGAAGUAGUUAGCCUAACCGUAAGGAGGCGAUUACCACGGGUAAGAUUCAUGACUGGGGUGAAGUCGUAACAAGGUAA